This 441-nucleotide ribosomal RNA is filed under the name uncultured bacterium. RNAcentral describes it as "partial 16S ribosomal RNA". It matches the Rfam family "Bacterial small subunit ribosomal RNA", at positions 338 to 795 of the family's 1533-position model. The record is from RNAcentral.
CCUACGGGUGGCAGCAGUGUGGAAUAUUGCACAAUGGGGGAAACCCUGAUGCAGCGACGCCGCGUGAGUGAAGAAGUAUUUCGGUAUGUAAAGCUCUAUCAGCAGGGGAGAAGAGAGACGGUCCCUUACUAAGAAGCCCCUGCUAACUGCGUACCAGGCGACGCGGUAAGACGUAGGGGGCAAGCGUUCUCCGGAUUUACUGGGUGUAAAGGGAGCUUAGAGGGCUGUGUAGGUCUGAAGUGAAAGCCCAGGGCUCAAACCCGGGACUGCUUUGGAAACUGUGGAGCUAGAGUGCUGGAGAGGUAAGUGGAAUGCCUAGUGUAGCGGUGAAAUGCGUAGAUAUUAGGAGGAACACCAGUGGCGAAGGCGGCUUACUGGACAGUAACUGACGUUGAGGCUCGAAAGCGUGGGGAGCAAACAGGAUUAGAUACCCUUGUAGUC